UACGAAGGGGGCUAGCGUUGCUCGGAAUCACUGGGCGUAAAGCGCACGUAGGCGGGUCCUUAAGUCAGGGGUGAAAUCCCGGAGCUCAACUCCGGAACUGCCUUUGGUACUGGGGAUCUCGAGUCCGGAAGAGGUGAGUGGAACUCCGAGUGUAGAGGUGAAAUUCGUAGAUAUUCGGAAGAACACCAGUGGCGAAGGCGGCUCACUGGUCCGGUACUGACGCUGAGGUGCGAAAGCGUGGGGAGCAAACAGG
This 253-nucleotide ribosomal RNA is filed under the name uncultured bacterium. RNAcentral describes it as "partial 16S ribosomal RNA". It matches the Rfam family "Bacterial small subunit ribosomal RNA", at positions 524 to 776 of the family's 1533-position model. The record is from RNAcentral.